UUUUUAAUUUCUUGAGGAACUUCCAUACUGUUUUCCAGAGUGGCUGCACCAGUUUGCAUUCCCACCAACCUGGGAACUUUUUUGAAAAGCAGACCCUCAGGCCCAUCCAAGACUCAUUGACCCAGAAUUUGCAUUUUAAUAAGACCCCCAGUAGAGUCAGUGCAAAUUGAAAUCAGAGAAGGGCCCCUCUGGACCAAGGUUCUCAACUUUGGCUGCAAAUCAGAAUCACCUGGGGGACUGAGUGCUUUAAUUGGCUUGGGGGGUGUGGCCUCAGCAAGGGGAUUUUUAAAAGCCCCAGGUGAUGCUAAUGUGCAGUCAAGGUUAAGAACUUGGGGACUAGUGCAAUGGCCCUUAAUACUGGCUGCACAUUAGGUUCAUCUGAAAUUUUAAAAAUAAAUCUCUGGGGUUGACGUUUUUAAAAAGCCCCUAGUAAUUCCAACGGGCAGCCAAGGUUUAGAACAAGUAUAGGAGACCAAACUUGAGUUUUUUGGCCUUGCAAUUAUUCAUUUAACAGUUAUUUAUAGCACUUUUUAAUAAUACAGGCAGGGAGGUGGGUACGAAGGCUAUGCACCAGUAACCAGACACAGUCCCUGAGCUCAGGGAGUGAGGUGGGCAAGUUACUUCUCUCGGAGUCUCAGUUCUCUCAUCUGAGGGAGUGGUAUAGUGAUCGGGGGACUGUCUCUAUCAAUUUCUCACCUUUGGCAUAAAUUCCUGUCCACACACCUAGCUGACUUCAGGCUUCUAGAGAGGCCACCGCUGAUUGGAUGAGGGUGAACACCUGAUCGAGAAGUGGCCAAUCCACGAGCUGACCAAAAGCCUAACACUUGUGCUGUUAGCAAAGUAAUGGUUUGUUUGCUGUGUUCUUGGACCAGAAAAUACUGUUUCCUAGAACUAGAAUUAGGACUGAGAAAAUAAACAAAGUUUGUGAGAACUUGUUUGCUCCUCAGGGAGCUGACCUUUCUGAAAGAGCCUUUCCCAGGAUGCCUUGCAGGAAGGUGUAGCACCUGUGAGUAGCCAGCCUGGAGCUACCUGGAGGACAGGAUUUGGGCAUGAAUGGAUGUUGCCCAGGAGGAGUUCCUCAGGACUUCUUUUUCUUGAUAAGUAAUGGUAACUCAGCCACCAGCAGAAUCUAGCUGACACCCAGUUGAUGGUUGACCAGAAAUCCCAUACCUUUCUGCCGGCCGCCAUGGUACCCUGGAGCUGAAAAUGGGUGUUGAGAACACAGUCUCUCAGGAGGCUCUGAGAAGGGCUUGAGUGAAAUGGGUUUGCUGUGAUGUGACAGAUGGGCUCUGAGCGGCUGAGUCAAGACCGGGAAGCUUAGGCCUACCUGAUACUGGUACAUCUGGAUCUGCCCUUGAGGUCAGGCUUAGUGAUGGCCUGGUCGUGAUAGGCCUGCUUGGAAUGGGUUUAAAUAUUGGCUCUGGGGUGCCUGGGUGGCUCAGCUGGUUAAGCGUCUGACUCUUGGUCUUGGCUCAGGUGGUGAUCUCAUGGUUUGCGGGAUCAAGCUCCGCCUUGGACUCUGUGCUGACAG
This is a long non-coding RNA of Felis catus (domestic cat), 1531 nucleotides long. RefSeq lists it as uncharacterized. The transcript has 3 exons. Lineage: Eukaryota; Metazoa; Chordata; Mammalia; Carnivora; Felidae. The record is from RefSeq and is a predicted model, not a curated record.